UUGUGAACACGCCGCUGUUUGACCC
RNAcentral lists this non-coding RNA (25 nucleotides) under Mus musculus (house mouse). The record is from RNAcentral. Lineage: Eukaryota; Metazoa; Chordata; Mammalia; Rodentia; Muridae.